UCGGAACCCUAAAUCUUUCCGGAAAAUGUCGACGUGGCAGAUAUUCUCCGACAAUGCUAACAAUUUUCGAUGGGAGGUAUCCGGCCAGAUACUCCGAACCAAACACGAACCGGACCGUGCCUCGAAUGAACUGCACAACUCCGAUUUUCGUCUUCCUUCCAUGGCCGAUGUAUUGCUCCAGGGACAGUCGAAGCUUCUGGAGAAUGAAAAUGAAGCUUCUGAAACUACUCCGAUGUUUAAAACCGGAUUGGGGAGGUCAGUGAAGUUGAAACAGUCCUCGAUCGCCAAAGCGUUAUCUGUUCUGGGCAACUAUAAGGAUGGUGAAGGGCAUCAGGCUGGAAAUGAAUGCGGCUAUUCCAAUUCUCUUUUCCAGACAGGUUCAGGGAAAUUUGUUAACAUAUCUUCUGCUGGUUUGGUUAAAGCUAAGACAUUAUUGGGAUUGGAAGAAGAUGAUGAUCAUUGCAACUUUCAAGACCUUCAACAUACAAGGACUCCAUCCACUCCUAUUAGCCCUUGUGGGUGGCAAUCUGUGUCAAAUUUGCCGGUGAAGGAAGUUGUGGAAGUUAAUCAGUUAGUGAAUGUUGCACAAGUUCCAAGGCCUUCGUCAAUUUGUAACUCUGGUUUGCCUGGACAUAUAUUUAAAAAUGAGAUAAAUUCAGGUAUGAUGCCAUCUGAAUCACCAAAUUCAGCUCCCAAACUGCCUCCUAUUAAGUUCCUUACUGCCGGUGGGAGAUCAUUAUCCGUUUCCAGUGAUGCACUGCAGUAUGCAAGGAGUCUCCUUGGUGAUCCAGAGUUGGGGACACCCUUUGAUGAAGGGACUGCAGGGGAAUCGGAUCUUUCAUUCUUUAAAGAGGCAAGAUUAUAUAAUUCUAUUUCAAACAAGGAAAUUGAUGUUUUCACUUCUACUCAAGAAGCAUCAAAGAACAGAUCUUUAACAAAAAGUUUCACCUCUCCUUUGAGAUCAUUUUCGAACCAAGCAAUGUCAAUGGUGAAUUUAGAAAAUAUAUAUGUUUCAGGUAACUUGAUCAAGAAAUUUGAUGCAGUUGACGAUGACAGAGUUGGUGUAUUGGAUGAAUUGCCUCCCAUGGAUAAAACCUUAAGCAACAUGCCUUCUGCACCCAAUACCAAAAUGGCUAAUCCUUUGGAAGAUAUUAAUGGUUCAAGAAGCAAUUCACUUGGGAGGUCUUUUGGUAAGCCACUUGCUGAUAUUACAAAUAGGAUUGGUGCAGCUCAUCGCAAUAUUAAACAAAAUACAUCUGAAAAGAGGAGACAGUGGAGGAGUUCUGUUUCUCCAUUCAAGAGACCUCGCAGCUCCAAAUUCUCCACCCCUUUGGUUAAAAAUGUUUCUCUUGCUAAUGGUUUAUCUGCCUCAUCAUCAGAACAUUCCAGUUGCAGAAGAACAGUUUCCUCUAGAUAUCCAUUUCAAUUUCAAAGAAUUUAUAUUAGGGAUUAUUUUGGAAUGCCUCCAUCAGUCCAGGGCAGGUUGGAGCAUUUGCAACACCAGGUAAGAUGGAUCAAAUCAGCCAAUGCUGAAAAGUACGUGUUUCAAGAUGAAUCUGGCUUAAAUUGCAUUGGGGCAGAGGCUUUUCUUCACAUGUUGGCAAAGUCUGGGGCUUCAGUGCAAUAUGCUUCUAAACAAUGGGUCACUAAUCACUACAAAUGGAUAGUCUGGAAAUUGGCUUGUUAUGAAAGAUGUUAUUCGGCCAAAUCUGCUGGAAAGUUUUUGACAAUUUCCAAUGUGCUCGAGGAAUUGAAAUAUAGGUAUGAAAGAGAAGUAAAUAAUGGCCAUCGAUCUGCAAUCAAAAGAGUUCUGGAAGGGGAUGCAAUGCCUUCUUUGAUGAUGGUCCUUUGCAUUUCAGCUAUUCACUCAAAUCAUGAACUGAAGAUUGAGACUUGUCCAGUGGUAUCAGAUGGAGGUGAAAGUAGUUAUUCUUCUAAAGUGGAACUAACUGAUGGGUGGUAUUCUGUGAAUGCUCUUUUGGAUGUUUCACUGUCAAAGCACCUUGCCGCUGGGAAAUUGUUUGUGGGACAGAAACUUCGGAUCUGGGGAGCAGGAUUAUGUGGCUGGGUUGGGCCUGUUUCACCCGCUGAGGGUUCAGGAUCAGUUAGUUUACUUUUGAACAUAAAUGGGACAUAUAGAGCUCAUUGGGCUGAUCGAAUGGGAUUUUGUAAGGGUGUUGGUGAUCCGUUGGCUUUUAGGUGCAUCAAGAGUAAUGGAGGUCCAGUUCCUAGGACUUUAGUCGGUGUCACACGGAUAUAUCCUGUUCUCUACAAGGAGAGGUUAAGUGAUGGGGGAUCUAUUGUGAGAUCAGAGAGGAUGGAAACUCAGAUGAUGCAGAUGCACCAACACAGGCGCUCUAUCCUUGUAGAAGGCAUCAUAUCUGAAUUUCAAAGGGAGGACAGCCAUUCUCAUGUAUUUAACGAUAAUGAUAGUGAAGAAGGAGCAAAACUUUUGAAAAUACUUGAGACAGCAGCUGAACCGGAAGUUAUAAUGGCAGAAAUGAGUCCAGAGCAACUUACUUCUUUUUCCACUUAUCAAGCAAAAUUAGAGGCAACCAAGCAAUCAAUCCUGGAAAAAUCCAUUGAAAAAGCUUUGAUAGAUGCUGGUCUGAGAGAGAGAGAUGUCACCCCAUUUAUGAGGGUGAGGGUGGUUGGAUUAACAAAUAAAGACUAUCAAGAAAAGUUUAGCUCCAGGGAAGGGAUUAUAACGAUCUGGAACCCCUCAGAGAAGCAGCAAUGUGAGCUGGUUGAGGGGAAGGCAUAUGCUAUUACAGGGCUUGUACCAGUGCACUCUGAUUCCAAUACGCUUUACUUACAAGCAAGAGGACCUACUACAAAAUGGCAGCCACUAUCUCCCCCAACUCUUGAACACUUUAAGCCAUUUUUCAGUCCUCGCAGAUCAAUUCCAUUGUCAGAUUUGGGUGAAGUUCCACUUUCUAGUGAAUUUGAUACGGUGACCUUUAUUGUGCAUGUGGGAGAGGUUUAUAAGGAUUCUCACCAAAAGAAACAGUGGGUGUUUGUGACAGAUGGCUCCAUUCCAGAGUUACAGUUAGAAGAAUUACCAAAAUCUUUAUUAGCCAUCAACUUCAGCUCAGCAUACAUAGAUGAUGAUUCAUUUUUGCCAAUAAACUAUAACCUUGUUGGAUCCACUGUUGGCUUCUGUAAUCUUAUCAAGAGAGCAAAAGACCACACGAAUCAUCUUUGGGUGGCUGAAGCAACAGAAAAUUCAACCUAUUUUUUAAAUUUUGAUCUCCCAUGCUGUACCCACCUUAAAAGUGCUGCUGCUGCUACACAACGAUGGGCAAUGAACUCUAGCCUGUUUAACUUCUUUCAGAUCAUCGACAAGCUUAAGGAGAAGGUUUUAUUUAUAAUUGGUGAUUGCAAAGGUUAGGUGGUGAAGUUGGCUGCUUUAAAUUGACAAGUUAUGUAUAAAAAGAAAUGAUGGAACAACAACCUCAGCUUCUUUAUGGAUGUUGCAACCUUAUCCCUUGAAAUUACUCAAGCAACUUCAAACUAUCUGUCGGUGUUUUGUUCAUCAACAUCCUCUGAACAGCUGACAUUUUCCGGAGGAAUCGAGGGACAACACAUUCAUGCAUGCAGGAUCGAUGACAAUUAUAACCAGGCCUCAGUCAGCUACUGAAACACCUGUUUGUGAAUUAAUAUUGGCUCUGUAAAAUGUACAGCCAAUUGGGGACUAUGGUUCUUAAUGGAAGGAAGCUGUGUCAAUUACAGAGUGAGAUCUUGUAAUAUCUGAUUAAUAAAGGUUUGAUCGUCUGCUAGUAAACGUUUAUAAUAUUUGUAUACCAUGUGCUGUAUGAUUUUCCAGUUGUAUUUUUAUCCCAUUGACCUCGUUGUCUUCAUCGAAGUAAUCAGACUAAUCCUGUAAAUGUAAAUUGCUAAAGAAUUGGCAAAAGUCAAAUUAGUCUUUUACUUAGAUUUAAA
RNA transcript from Mangifera indica (mango), 3942 nucleotides. It is a transcript of the gene named protein BREAST CANCER SUSCEPTIBILITY 2 homolog B, with no coding region annotated. The record is from RefSeq and is a predicted model, not a curated record. The transcript has 21 exons. NCBI's taxonomy places the organism in Eukaryota, Viridiplantae, Streptophyta, Magnoliopsida, Sapindales, Anacardiaceae.